GUAGAAACUAGAAACAAAAUAAGCUCCCUGUCUCUGUACUCCAAAUAAAAAGAAUCAAUAUCUGCCCAUGUGGGUAAUGGCUAUUACCCGUAAAGUAACAGUUGUAACAGUUGUAAUGGCCUUUACCCAUUACAAAUUUUUCCACCAUUAGUUAAAGAGGGUAUCAUUACAGAAACCAAUAAAUAGUGGCCGCUACGCUAUUUAACAAUUGUCAUUUGAAAUCAUGGUACUAAUUUAUUAGCAUCUAGCCUUCAGCAGCUUGCCAAAAAGAGGAGAAGUUGUUUGGAUCUGAAAACUGAAAAGGCAUUCUCAGACUGUUAGGGCCUGUGCACUCAUGGAAAAUUGGAGUAAUUUUCUAGAAAAGUUUUCUA
RNAcentral lists this unclassified non-coding RNA (371 nucleotides) under Hevea brasiliensis (rubber tree). The record is from RNAcentral. Lineage: Eukaryota; Viridiplantae; Streptophyta; Magnoliopsida; Malpighiales; Euphorbiaceae.